AAUUCGAUUAGAGUUUGAUCCUGGCUCAGAGCGAACGCUGGCGGCAGGCCUAACACAUGCAAGUCGAGCGGGCACUUUCGGGUGUCAGCGGCAGACGGGUGAGUAACGCGUGGGAACGUACCCUUUGGUUCGGAACAACUCCGGGAAACUGGAGCUAAUACCGGAUACGCCCUUUUUGGGGAAAGAUUUAUCGCCGAAGGAUCGGCCCGCGUCUGAUUAGCUAGUUGGUGAGGUAACGGCUCACCAAGGCGACGAUCAGUAGCUGGUCUGAGAGGAUGAUCAGCCACACUGGGACUGAGACACGGCCCAGACUCCUACGGGAGGCAGCAGUGGGGAAUAUUGGACAAUGGGCGCAAGCCUGAUCCAGCCAUGCCGCGUGAGUGAUGAAGGCCUUAGGGUUGUAAAGCUCUUUCACCCACGACGAUAAUGACGGUAGUGGGAGAAGAAGCCCCG
RNAcentral lists this ribosomal RNA (453 nucleotides) under uncultured bacterium. RNAcentral describes it as "bacterial SSU rRNA". It matches the Rfam family "Bacterial small subunit ribosomal RNA", at positions 1 to 495 of the family's 1533-position model. The record is from RNAcentral.